Molecule: ribosomal RNA, 433 nt
Filed under: uncultured bacterium
Lineage: Bacteria
Description: partial 16S ribosomal RNA
Rfam family: Bacterial small subunit ribosomal RNA
Source: RNAcentral
AAUGAACGCUGGCGGCAUGCCUAACACAUGCAAGUCGAACGAAGGCUUCGGCCUUAGUUGCGCACGGGUGCGUAACGCGUGGGAAUCUGCCCCUUGGUUCGGAAUAACAGUUAGAAAUGACUGCUAAUACCGGAUGAUGACGUAAGUCCAAAGAUUUAUCGCGGAGGGAUGAGCCCGCGUAGGAUUAGCUAGUUGGUGUGGUAAGAGCGCACCAAGGCGACGAUCCUUAGCUGGUCUGAGAGGAUGAUCAGCCACACUGGGACUGAGACACGGCUCAGAAUCUUACGGGAGGGAGCAGUGGGGAAUAUAGGACAAUGGGCGAAAGCCUGAUCCAGCAAUGCCGCGUGAGUGAUGAAGGCCUGAGGGAUGUAAAGCUCUUUUACCCGGGAUGAUAAUGACAGUACCGGGAGAAUAAGCUCCGGCUAACUCCGUG